This 69-nucleotide transfer RNA is filed under the name Rattus norvegicus (Norway rat). It matches the Rfam family "tRNA". Rfam says of the family: Transfer RNA (tRNA) molecules are approximately 80 nucleotides in length. Their secondary structure includes four short double-helical elements and three loops (D, anti-codon, and T loops). Lineage: Eukaryota; Metazoa; Chordata; Mammalia; Rodentia; Muridae. The record is from Rfam by way of RNAcentral.
GGGGGUUUGGCUCAGUGGUAGAGUGCUUGCCUAGCAAGCACAAGGCCCUGGGUUCGGUCCCCAGCUCCG